UAGGGAAUCUUGCGCAAUGGGCGAAAGCCUGACGCAGCAACUCCGCGUGCGGGAAGAAGGCCUUCGGGUUGUAAACCGCUUUUGGCAGGAACGAAAAUGACGGUACCUGCAGAAUAAGAUGCGGCCAACUACGUGCCAGCAGCCGCGGUGACACGUAGGCAUCAAGCGUUGUCCGGAUUUAUUGGGCGUAAAGAGCUCGUAGGCGGCUCAGUUAGUCGGGUGUGAAAACUCAGGGCUUAACCCUGAGACGCCACUCGAUACUGCUGGGCUAGAAUUCGGUAGGGGAGUGGGGAAUUCCUGGUGUAGCGGUGAAAUGCGCAGAUAUCAGGAGGAACACCGGUGGCGAAGGCGCCACUCUGGGCCGACAUUGACGCUGAGGAGCGAAAGCGUGGGUAGCAAACAGG
Molecule: ribosomal RNA, 404 nt
Filed under: uncultured Acidimicrobiales bacterium
Lineage: Bacteria; Bacillati; Actinomycetota; Acidimicrobiia; Acidimicrobiales
Description: bacterial SSU rRNA
Rfam family: Bacterial small subunit ribosomal RNA
Source: RNAcentral